Molecule: non-coding RNA, 2112 nt
Organism: Nelumbo nucifera (sacred lotus)
Lineage: Eukaryota; Viridiplantae; Streptophyta; Magnoliopsida; Proteales; Nelumbonaceae
Source: RefSeq, a predicted model, not a curated record
AGAGUGGAAAUGGCGAACCAACCGAUGGAUGAACCAUUUUGAUCCAUAUGCGAAUUCACGCGAUAGAUGAACGUCUGUUCCGUUUUCCAGGAACCACACAUCCAGUUUCACUACUAGUACACCAUAUCCCGCCUUUUCCCGUUUUCCAUAAGCAAAGCAGCGUCAGGCGUCAGCUGGUCUCAGUAGAGCUCUUAAACCCUUCUCCACUCCAUUAAGGUUCAUGUCUGCCUGAAAAGUGGGUUCGGGGUUCCUCUGAUUCCAUCAGAGCUCACGCGAGCAAACUUUCGUUAAUGGCCGAGUUUCGGGUACUUUGAAGUCGUGAUUGUUCGUUCUUCGAUAUAGUCUAAUAUGUAUUGAGUUUAUGAUAUUAAAUUAAAUAGUUGCUUUUUUGUUUAAACGGGUUUUGGUGAACAUUGGUUUUCUUGUUCCGCUUACUAACAAUCUGGGGGAAGAUGGUUCAUCCAGAAAGUACCAAUUUUCAAAGGAACCAACGUUGUUGGUCGCAAUGAUAUCUCCGUUUCUGACAAAAGAAUGAGUCGUAAGCAAAUUAUUCUCGAUACUUCGGCUGAAGGUUCCGCCGAUGUAACUGUGGAGGGACAGAAUCCAAUUGUCAUUAAUACUAGCGAUCGGAGGAAGAAGCUAUGUUCUGAAGAUAAGAUUAGGAUUGCCAAUGGUGAUAUUCUUGAGCUGAUUCCUGGGCAUUAUGUUUUUAAGUAUAAAUUUUUGCCUGUUCAAAGACAUAUAUCUUCAUCCGAGACACUUGAAAAGGUCUUCAUCCAAAGGAAAAGAUGUUAGUGAAGAUGAGAGAUUAACUCUGAAGAGGAAGCGACAAAUUUCUGAAGAUGAAGCCUUGCCAAGACCUUCGCAGGAUCUGGAAACGAAGAAGGUGAUUGGGAUUGGCUGUGAGAUGAAUGGAGUUUACCUGUUUGCACAUCCAUAGGGGAAGCAGAGUGAAUUGGUUUCUUCUGACUUCAGCAAAUCUCAGAAAAGCUGCUUGGGGUGCACUCCAGAAGAAUAAUUCCCAACUGAUGAUCCAUUCUUAUGAGCUGGGGGUGUUAUUUUUGCCAUCUUUGAGUAAAGAUCAUUGCUAUGUGAUGAUGCGCGAUCUAGUGCUCCCUACUGGAGGACAACUCGGACAUCGGGAUACUGAGGUCGCCUAAUUGAGCUGCAAGAAAAGGAUGUCUGAGUGUCUGGGGUGCUUUACCCGGUGUGGGCACUCUGAUGCUUAAGUUAGCGAGUUGGAGGUUUUUGAGAGAGCUGAAAGCUAUUUGCUAGAGUAUUGAUAGAGCUAAGUUGCAUGUACCUUGUAAGGCUGGAGGCAAGGCCUUUAUAUAGGCGAGUUGCCGUGGACCUUAUGAUGCGUGUCCAAGAUACUUGGCCUAUCUGGUUUGGAGUUGGUUUCGCACCCGAAGACGGACUCUGCAUAAGCUGAUAAGGCUUAUCCAGGUCCGUCUGAAUUGGAUGGGAAUAAGAUGAACUCUGUUGACGUGGUGCCGUGAUCCCAAGGAGAUCGGAGACAGCUGUUUUUCUUCUGGAUAGAGGUUACGUGACACUUCGGCAGAUCAGUGCACAUAGUUGAGCUAUUCAAGCCUCCGUCUAGCUGGGUGACCCAAGGUGCGCGAGGUGGCUGGAGUCAUUGAAGUCAUCAAGGUCACUGAGGUAUCACCAUAUCGUUCUGUCACUCCACGUGUCAUCACAUAAUUUGAUGGGCCAAAUUAUCCCUCAUCACUAUGGAUUUUCUUGUACAGAUGAUAGUGAUUCUGCACAGGGUAUAAGGGAAUCAUUGCUGACUCUAUGUUGGCAAGGAAAUCAGAGCAAAAAUUCAUCAUCUGAAAUAAUUCUGUUGCCUGUCCCUUAUGAACUCCCUCCACAGCCAUACUCAUCUGAAGAUGUGCCUUGGUCGUGGGACAAGCAAUACUAGUCAGGACCCAUGCGAUACAUGGGCUUUAUUUAUCAGCGAAAUUGAAGAUGGAGCUCUAUGACAUUUCCAAUUAAAUAGUGUCAAUCUAGUUUAUCCGAUCACAAUCUAAGGUUCACUUUAGUGAGGGCUAAUGUCCUAUUCUCUAGAUAAAUUUGUAUUAAUUUUUUGUAUCUUAAUCCUAAUUUUUAUAA